UGGGGAAUUUUGCGCAAUGGGCGAAAGCCUGACGCAGCGACGCCGGGUGUGCGAUGAAGGCCCUUGGGUCGUAAAGCACUGUCAACAGGGACGAAAAUACCGGUGUCAAUAGCAUCGGUGCUUGACGGUACCUGUAAAGGAAGCACCGGCUAACUCUGUGCCAGCAGCCGCGGUAAUACAGAGGGUGCAAACGUUGUUCGGAAUUACUGGGCGUAAAGCGCGUGUAGGCGGUUCGUUAAGUCGACUGUGAAAGCCCAUGGCUCAACCAUGGAAGUGCAGUCGAUACUGGCAGACUGGAGUCUCGGAGAGGGUGGUGGAAUUCCUAGUGUAGAGGUGAAAUUCGUAGAUAUUAGGAGGAACACCGGUGGCGAAGGCGACCACCUGGACGGGUACUGACGCUGAGACGCGAAAGCGUGGGGAGCAAACAGGAUUAGAUACCCGUGUAGUCC
This 449-nucleotide ribosomal RNA is filed under the name uncultured prokaryote. RNAcentral's name for it is "bacterial SSU rRNA". It matches the Rfam family "Bacterial small subunit ribosomal RNA", at positions 355 to 796 of the family's 1533-position model. The record is from RNAcentral.